CGGAAACUGUCCUGGAUAAUACAUUCUGCCUCCAGAUAUUGGCCAUGUUUUGCUAAAGCAUUUACUAGUACACUGAAAGUGACAGCAUCUGGAGCAAGUCCUUGCUCAACCAUAUUUUGGUAGAGGUGAUUGGCAUCAUCAACUUCGCCACAUUUGCAGUACGCAUCAAUUCCAGCCAUAUACAAAACUCUUCCAAUUUUG
RNAcentral lists this unclassified non-coding RNA (201 nucleotides) under Hevea brasiliensis (rubber tree). The record is from RNAcentral. Lineage: Eukaryota; Viridiplantae; Streptophyta; Magnoliopsida; Malpighiales; Euphorbiaceae.